RNAcentral lists this ribosomal RNA (254 nucleotides) under uncultured bacterium. Its description in RNAcentral is "partial 16S ribosomal RNA". It matches the Rfam family "Bacterial small subunit ribosomal RNA", at positions 524 to 776 of the family's 1533-position model. The record is from RNAcentral.
UACAGAGGGUGCAAGCGUUGUCCGGAUUCAUUGGGCGUAAAGAGCUCGUAGGCGGUUCGAUAAGUCGGGUGUGAAACCUCCAGGCUCAACCUGGAGACGCCACCCGAUACUGUCGUGACUAGAGUCCAGUAGGGGAGCGUGGAAUUCCUGGUGUAGCGGUGAAAUGCGCAGAUAUCAGGAGGAACACCAGCGGCGAAGGCGGCGCUCUGGGCUGGAACUGACGCUGAGGAGCGAAAGCGUGGGGAGCGAACAGG